RNAcentral lists this ribosomal RNA (1041 nucleotides) under uncultured archaeon. RNAcentral's name for it is "partial 16S ribosomal RNA". It matches the Rfam family "Archaeal small subunit ribosomal RNA", at positions 315 to 1354 of the family's 1478-position model. The record is from RNAcentral.
UCCAGGCCCUACGGGGUGCACCAGGGGCGAAACCUCCGCAAUGGGUGAAAGCCUGACGGGGGGACGGGGAGUGCCGGGGGUUUACCCCCGGCUUUUGGGGAGUGUAAGCAGCUCCCCGAAUAAGCGGCGGGCAAGAGGGGUGGCAGUCGCCACGGGAAUACCCCCGCCGCGAGUGGUGGCCUCGAUUAUUGGGCCUAAAGGGGCCGUAGCCGGGCCGGUGUGGCCCCCGUGAAAUCCUCGGGCUCAACCCGAGGGCGCGCGGGGGCUACUACCGGCCUAGGGGCCGGGAGAGGCGGGGGGUACUCCCGGGGGAGCGGUGAAAUGCUGUAAUCCCGGGAGGACCACCUGAGGCGAAAGCGCCCCGCCAGAACGGUCCCGACGGUGAGGGCCGAAGGCCGGGGGCUCAAAUGGGAUUAGAGACCCCAGUAGUCCCGGCUGUCAACGCUGCGGGCUACCUGCCGGGCGGGCUAAGUGCCCGCUCGGUGGGGAAGGGAAGCCGUUAAGCCCGCCGCCUGGGGAGUACGGCCGCAAGGCUGAAACUUAAAGGAAUAGACGGGGGGGCACACAAGGGGUGGGGUGUGCGGUUUAAUUGGAAUCGACACCGGAAACCUUACCGGGGGCGACAGCAGGAUGAUGGCCCCCCUGAAGGGGGUGCCGGACGCGCUGAGAGGAGGUGCAUGGCCGCCGUCAGCUCGUGCCGUGAGGUGUCCUGUUAAGUCAGGAAACGAGCGCGACCCGCGCCCGCAGUUGCGACGGGGGUGGGGUUUCCCACCCCGGCACACUGCGGGGACUGCCGGGGAAACCCGGAGGAAGGUGCGGGCGACGGCAGGUCCGCAUGCCCCGAAUCCCCCGGGCUACACGCGCGCAACAAUGGGCGGGACAAUGGGGAUCCGACCCCGAAAGGGGGAGGGAAUCCCCUAAACCCGCUCCCAGUCCAGAUUGCGGGCUGCAACUCGCCCGCAUGACGGCGGAAUCCCUAGUAAUCGGGGGUCACUAUUCCCCCGGUGAAUACGUCCCUGCCCCUUGCACACACCGCCCGUC